UUUUUUCAGUAAAGUUAAUAUCUUUAUUUGGAAACCAGUUCACACAUGUAUUUCACACAACUUGAUAAGGACAACAUUGCGAUCUCAUAAGAUAAAUGGGCAAAGGACACCACAGAUGUUUUUCAAACAAUGAAUCAUAUACAAAAGAUAAAUUCAAUGUUGCUUGUAUGAAAAGAAACGUAAACCAAAAGUUACCAGGUAAUUUUAAAAUGAAACUAUCCCCUGCUGGCAAGGCGAGGUGGAAUGGGUGGGGCAAUAGAGACUGGUAUUGUCUGGCCUUUGGAAGCCAUUUGGCCCUACUAUCUAUGCAAAGCCAUAAAAAUGUUCCUAAUUUUUGAUCUAGUACUCAAACUUAACAUCCCUAAUCCUAAGAAAUAAUUCAAAAUAAUGAGCAAGAAGUUCUGCUGCAGCGUUAUUUAUAAUGAUAAUGUUGAAAAACUGAACACCACAUAAAUGUUCAACAAAGAUAGUAAUAUGCAUUGUGUUCUACUCACCUGGCAGGAUAAUCUGAUCAAUUAUUAUUUUUAAUAAUUCCAAGGACUUUGUAGAAACAUGAAAAAACACUUGAAUGUUUCAAAUAAAAGGACAUAACAUACAUGCACUAUGAUUAACUACAAAUAGAACUAUUAAGAUGAAAAGGACUCUAUCAAGACAAUAAUUGUUACGAUGAAGUAACGAGAUUUUUGAUAAUUUAUCCCCUACUACUUUUGUUUGCUGUUUUGUUGCUUUUAUAAUAUAAAUACUAAAUUAAAAAUAAUCCACAUUCUUCAUAAGCUGAUGAAGAUAGGUAUAAAGAGAUGGUCACAUGGGGAAGAAGCCAGUGAACCUCUAAGUUAAGACAGGGUGCAGGAGUUGUUAAUCACUCCAUCUUUUUUCCUUUGUGGAAAAUAAUCUUCCUCUGAGCAAAGCUUCCAUGGCUCAUGUUCUUCUGUGUGUGCAGCUCUGCUGUGUGGGGUCAUGGAAAUAUAGUAUUUUAGAAUGGGCAGAGUCUCAGGGAUCAUUUUAUUCCAAACUCCCAGCUAAUUCCAGAACCAGAACUAUAGCAUCCAUUGCAAGCACCUGUAAUGGAUGCUUCUGAUUGAUUGAUUAUUCCCGUGAAUGGGGAGCUCACCACCUCACAAAGCAGUCUGUUCAGUCUCUGCCUUCUCCAUCGUGCCUGAUGCUGUUAUCCGUGGCCAUGCCUCUAAACCUCACACAAAGCAGGCCUUACUAGUCAAUCACUUCUUUCCAGCUGGGAUUUCAAACCACAAAUCACAAACUAAGAGACUAGAGUGAUACCGAUCAUUCUUCCUAACAAAAGAAAAAUAUUAAGCUCAAAAUACGAGACUAUCCCUAUUCAUGAAAAAUAUAUCCUAGAAAUGGGAAUAUAGAAACCCAUGGCUAUCCUACUGAACAGGAAAAAAUUACAGGCCAAGAUGAAUUCCCUAAGAAAAGAGCUAGAGACAGUCACUCAGGCUUCUCCCUAAAGAUUAAAGGCUCUAGAUCUGUAAACAUUUUAAUUUGGAAAACUCUUUCAGUUCUUCUGAGUACAAGAGGGGGAAGCCAUCUUUCCAGUGCUUAUCUUUCUUCCUAUACCCCAGCUUCUGCUCCGUCUACCUCAGCAACAGAAGCGGAGGGCUGAUAAAGUGGCUAAGGAGGGCUGGCGGCGGGACUGGGUUUUUAGGACACACUAUUCUCUUAGCCAACAAUCACCCCAUUGAACCCUGCGGACCUUGAUCUUGGACUUUAUGGCCUCCCGAACUGUGAGAAGAUAAAUUCCUGUUCUUUAAGCCACCCAGUCUGUGGUGUUUUGUUAUGGCAGCCCGUGCUGACUGAGGCACAAGGCAAUAAGGACCAUCAGAGGAAGAGGGUGCAGGCGGCACAGUGGGGGACCGCGGAAGAGGGUGUGAGAAGCCGGGGCCUGGCUGAUCAGCUCUUCCUAGAGAUGCGGGGAGCACAGGAGAGCUAAGAACACAGGAGAACCAAGAACCUAGAAACGAAAACAUCAGCCCGGGGCAGUGAGCAGCAGCCCUGGAGGAGGAGGGAGUCUGCAGAGAAAAGCGAGGAGGAAAGGUCUAACUCUUCUCUCAGCUGUGGGUUAAAAAAAAGUAUAGAAAAUGCUGGGGCGAGUUCUUUUGGGAUUUUCCCUGGAGCAGAAAGUUGGUAUGCCCUGCUGCAUAUAGUAGUACUGUGACAUUUCACAGUCCGUGGGUUACCAGGUCCUACACGAUGAUUCCCUCAAAGUGGUGGAGGGUUAGAGCGAGGGGGUAGGAGUUAAGAGGACCUGAUUCUCCUGUUAGUCCCUGGGUAACACUAAUAUGUGUCCACCUGCUGGGCCCCAAGUGCCCUCUGGAUCAACACACAUAGGCUGUCUGUACAACACCAGGAGGGAUAGAGGAAGGCCCUCGAGCUCAGAGGGCAAAGAAGUACAGCCCAGGGAGAGGUCCUUGCUCUGGACUCCCAUUUCGGCUUCCACCCCAACAGGCGUGUCGUGUCUGCUUGGAUCCCCUUUCUGAUCUGGGCCCUUACUUGAAUCAAAGGGAAGGAGACAGAGCCUCUCAGAAGACCAAGAGCAAACGAAGGCUGGACACAAGCGGCUUCUCUCCCCAGCGUCUGGAAAGGUAGUGCUCACCCAGCAAUCCUCUAAGAUUUUCCACUGUUGAUGACAUGUGCAGACUGCCGGCGGCCUUCAUGGGGACCGAGCUUUGCAAAGGAGGAUCAACACUUUGUCAUGACCAAAAGCAGUAAUGUCUCCUGAGGCGGGCUGUCAGACAUCCUACCAGACUAUGACCAACGCGUUUGCCUUUCCUCUUACUCAUAGUUGCCUUAGAUCCAGCACCUAACACACAGGAGCUGUGCCCUAGGCGGGGUGUUCGCUCACAACUCCCACUGGAGGCCACAGCCCUGCU
Molecule: long non-coding RNA, 2888 nt
Filed under: Equus caballus (horse)
Lineage: Eukaryota; Metazoa; Chordata; Mammalia; Perissodactyla; Equidae
Description: lncRNA (ENSECAG00000058031.1)
Source: RNAcentral